RNAcentral lists this ribosomal RNA (454 nucleotides) under Thyridium pluriloculosum. RNAcentral's name for it is "eukaryotic LSU rRNA". It matches the Rfam family "Eukaryotic large subunit ribosomal RNA", at positions 109 to 575 of the family's 3401-position model. Lineage: Eukaryota; Fungi; Ascomycota; Sordariomycetes; Thyridiales; Thyridiaceae. The record is from RNAcentral.
UCAAAUUUGAAAUCUGGCUUCGGCCCGAGUUGUAAUUUGUAGAGGAUGCUUUUGGUGCGGUGCCUUCUGAGUUCCCUGGAACGGGACGCCUUAGAGGGUGAGAGCCCCGUAAAGUUGGACACCAAGCCUAUGUAAAGCUCCUUCGACGAGUCGAGUAGUUUGGGAAUGCUGCUCAAAAUGGGAGGUAAAUUUCUUCUAAAGCUAAAUACCGGCCAGAGACCGAUAGCGCACAAGUAGAGUGAUCGAAAGAUGAAAAGCACUUUGAAAAGAGGGUUAAAUAGUACGUGAAAUUGUUGAAAGGGAAGCGCUCAUGACCAGACUUGUGCCCUGCGGAUCAUCCAGCCUUCUGGCUGGUGCACUUCGCUUGGUUCAGGCCAGCAUCGGUUCUCUGAGGGGGAUAAAAGCUUCAGGAACGUAGCUCCUUCGGGAGCAUUAUAGCCUGUUGCACAAUACC